GUAUAUCAAAAUCGAGCGAACGAAGAUCUCCGGAUUGCUGCACUCUGCUACAUGCCUUUCGAAUCCGUUUACUGCAUCGCCGGAGAAGUAGGAAUCUGUUUACUUACCUUUGGAAUCCAUCCUCAUCCCUCUCCGUCUAGUGUGAUGCAGCAGUUAGGCACUAGUGCAGUGACAUCUAAGUUUAAACAGACUUUUUUCUUCAAAAUGCGACAUUUUCUUCUGAUGUCUGCAGCCUCUAUGUCCUGAAUUUGUUACGUGUAAUUAGACUACCGGAAGGAAGAGAAGAUUUCGAAAGAGAGAAUUUUGCUCUUCUUAUUUUAUCGCUUAGUAGUAUAUUUCACUUUGUGGAUAUCAAACUUCUGACUUUUAUUGACUAUCACUACAUUUAAUAAACUGGUUGAUCUCAUUU
RNAcentral lists this small RNA (409 nucleotides) under Arabidopsis thaliana (thale cress). RNAcentral describes it as "unknown gene (AT5G43725)". Lineage: Eukaryota; Viridiplantae; Streptophyta; Magnoliopsida; Brassicales; Brassicaceae. The record is from RNAcentral.